RNAcentral lists this ribosomal RNA (445 nucleotides) under uncultured bacterium. Its description in RNAcentral is "partial 16S ribosomal RNA". It matches the Rfam family "Bacterial small subunit ribosomal RNA", at positions 354 to 796 of the family's 1533-position model. The record is from RNAcentral.
GUGAUGAAUAUUGGUCAAUGGACGAGAGUCUGAACCAGCCAAGUCGCGUGAAGGAAGACGGUUCUAUGAAUUGUAAACUUCUUUUGUGCAGGAAUAAAGUGGGUUACGUGUAACCUUUUGUAUGUACUGUACGAAUAAGGAUCGGCUAACUCCGUGCCAGCAGCCGCGGUAAUACGGAGGAUCCGAGCGUUAUCCGGAUUUAUUGGGUUUAAAGGGUGCGUAGGUGGAUUGAUAAGUCAGCGGUGAAAGUUUGCAGCUUAACUGUAAAAUUGCCGUUGAAACUGUCGGUCUUGAGUGCAAAUGAGGUAGGCGGAAUGUGUUGUGUAGCGGUGAAAUGCUUAGAUAUAACACAGAACUCCGAUUGCGAAGGCAGCUUACUGGGAUGCAACUGACACUGAUGCACGAAAGCGUGGGUAUCAAACAGGAUUAGAAACCCUGGUAGUCC